RNAcentral lists this small RNA (94 nucleotides) under Salmonella enterica. RNAcentral describes it as "partial RtT sRNA". It matches the Rfam family "RtT RNA", at positions 36 to 130 of the family's 130-position model. From Rfam's summary of the family: This family represents a bacterial cis-regulatory element known as RtT RNA. The exact function of RtT is unknown although it is thought that it may be involved in changing the cellular response in relation to amino acid starvation. The record is from RNAcentral. RNAcentral also lists the same sequence under 1 other name. Lineage: Bacteria; Pseudomonadati; Pseudomonadota; Gammaproteobacteria; Enterobacterales; Enterobacteriaceae.
CCGCAGGUCCGGGUCUCACGUAGUGAGACAACGGAGCCGCUUGCGGCGACGGCCCGAAGGGCGAGCAAAGCGAGUCAUUCUGCACGACCCACCA